RNAcentral lists this long non-coding RNA (2766 nucleotides) under Mus pahari (shrew mouse). RNAcentral's name for it is "lncRNA (MGP_PahariEiJ_G0004603.1)". Lineage: Eukaryota; Metazoa; Chordata; Mammalia; Rodentia; Muridae. The record is from RNAcentral.
AGGUGGUACAUGUGUUUACAGUUUAUUGAGUAGUUUAGGAAUGCAGCACACUGGGCAGUAACUGGAGUACUGCCUGCAGCACAGGGCCUGGACAGUGUUCUUACUUUCUAAGAAUUUCAUACACAAGUACAACCCACUAGGAUACACCCCCACCCCCUGCCUUUCCCUGACUGGCUGUCUUCUCUUUUCACUUUGAAUAUUCUAUUUAUUUUUGCUUUCCCUCUCUCAUCCCACCAUUCCUGUUGUCUCUGGUGGCCUCCCCCUUCUUCUUGUGGCACCUUUUGGUAUGCUAGGAGCAACUCUGCCACUUAGCCAUGUUCUCACCUUACGGUAUUUACCACCACCUAUUAUGGACAUUAUACCCAAGUCCAUGGCUCAAUAGGUGGUCCGAAGUGGUGGUGUUUUGAGAGGCUGUGAGACAUGGCUGGCAGUUGAAUCACGGGGUCAGGUUUUGAUGCUUCUAUGUUCUUUGCUUCCCAUCUCUCUCUGCUCCUCCUCCCAAGCCACAACUUGAUUAACUCCUGCUGCCACAAACAGGGCAGGCAGCCCUAACCUCUGUUCCUUGCUCACCAUGGCAGACUAUAACCCUGAAACUGGGCCAAAACUAACCUCUCUUCCCCUAUGAUGCUCCCGUCAGGCAUCUGUUGACAGUUACAUAAAACAUACACUACUCCACCACAAUGUCAAGUAUUUUUAAAGACUAAGAGACAUAAACAUCUCAACCCAAUGACUGGGAUCCGAGUGGGAAUAGCUAAAAAGUAGAAAGGGGCACGGGGCUCAAGACCCACUGCUAGGCAAUCACCCUACAGCCACAGCAGAGAGAAACUCCAGGACAGAGAGACCUACAGAGAAAUACCAAUACAUACACCUUGGGGCAACGGGGACCACCAGGCUACCUUUCAGGGCCCACUGCCCCACAGUACACAAUGUAUCUAGGUACACGCAUCACUGAAGCAGCAGAGGGAUCAGGGUACAAGAUCCCUCAACAUAACUCAACACUUCCUGACAACCUUGAGGAACAUCCUAAAGGUUGCACCUUUAACAGUCUCAAACAUGCAAGUGACUGACCUAUAUACCUCAAAGGCGUGUAAAGCUCAAUCGGAAGACAGAAAUAUCAAAGAAAGCAAAAUGAAUCCUUUUAAAAGUUCUACUCUAUCAAAUAAGAUUGCUGGAGAGUGGUGGCCCACACCUUUAACCCCGGCCCUUAGACAGAGGCAGGUGGAUCUAAGCUGAGUUUUCUCUUUCUCAUUAUGUAGCUUGGCUGAUUUGAACAGAGGUCAGCUAAGCUACAAAGAUGAUCCUGUCUCACAACAAAAACAAGAGUCAUGCUACUGAAAGCAACCUAUACGAUCAAGGUAUAGAAUGGAAAUGAGAAAAAUGGUGAUGCAUCAAAGUAUACCACACACAUGUAUAAAAAUGUCACAAUGAAAUGAUAUCUUUACAGUUCUAUCAUAUAGAGACUGGCAAGGGACAUUUACAACCUUGCAGAGGUUAUUUUUAACAUAGACACAAUUGUGGAAAAAUAAACCAAAAAGAUUUAAGUCUAUAAAAUAUAAAAGUAGUCAAAGAAUUAUGAGAUUAUAGGGCUAAAAAAAAACAAAAAACAAACACACCAGGUUUAGGUCAGAACAAAAUCCACUUCAAAGUUAAGCCUAUAAACGAUUGGGAGGCAGAAGGAAGUUCAAGGCCAGCCUGGUCUACACUGUGAGACCCUGUCUCAAAAAGAUAAGACUGCUUCACCAUGUAUCCUGGAUGGGCCUGGAACUCAAAGAUCCACCUACCUGCCUCUGCCUCCCAAGUGUUGAGAUCAUAAUGAGAGUCACCAUGCCCCACCAAGCAGUGGCUCUUAACCCAGACAUACUAUGCCCAGGGCCUCCUCCUAAUAAUUCAAAGUAAAAUAUCUGGGCAUCAAGAUUGACCACCACAGAAAUAACCACUGCUCUUCCAGAGGCUCUACAGGCCUCUGUUAGUGCCACACACACAUAAAUACAACAGUAAAUCAAGAAAAGGGGAAACCUUUUUGCAUUUGUGAUGAAGAAAGGCAAACCGUCUCCCAAUGGAAACUGAACGUUUCAAAAGGCUCAGAUGUGCCAUUAAACAGGCAGGUGGCAACCACACCACCACACUGUAUUUUUUCAUUUCAAAUAGCUACAAGGACCAUAAUGAUAAAUGCUUGAGGCAUACAUAGCCUGACUUUACACAAUGUACAAAUCUCAAAGUAUCACCUGGUACUCUUUAAAUAUUACAUUGUUGUUUUACUAAAACUAUUAUACAUAUCUUCAUCAAGUACUCAAACCCAAUAAUACGCUAUAUAAAUUGUUUCAAACCAACCUUUUAAUAAAAAAAAUUUAUGUGCACAUGAAUACUGACGUCCAAGGAGACCAGAGGUGUGUGGGUCUUCUUGAAGGGCAGUGUGUGUUCUUAACUGUGGUUCCACUCGCCAGCCCCCAAAUUACCUUUUUUGAAAUAUCUCUGUGUGUGCAUACCCCACCAUGUGUGUAUGGAUAGCUUGCAGGAGUUGGUUUUCUCCUUCCACCAUGUAGUAGAUCCCACAGACUGACCUUCCGUCUUCAGGGCAGCUGCUAAGUGUAGAUGCCUUUACCGGCUGAGUUACCUUACCAUUUCCAAAGUACACUUCUCUGUGGAAUACUCAUUCUUAGGCAUAGAGAUCUACUAUCUGCCUCCAAAAUGCUGGGUGACCAUUAUAUCUAUCCAACUUUUAGAGAUAGAACCCAGGGCAUAGUACAUGUGCUAGGCAAGUGGCUC